This 483-nucleotide ribosomal RNA is filed under the name Bacillus halotolerans. RNAcentral's name for it is "bacterial SSU rRNA". It matches the Rfam family "Bacterial small subunit ribosomal RNA", at positions 940 to 1424 of the family's 1533-position model. The record is from RNAcentral. Lineage: Bacteria; Bacillati; Bacillota; Bacilli; Caryophanales; Bacillaceae.
UGUGGUUUAAUUCGAAGCAACGCGAAGAACCUUACCAGGUCUUGACAUCCUCUGACAAUCCUAGAGAUAGGACGUCCCCUUCGGGGGCAGAGUGACAGGUGGUGCAUGGUUGUCGUCAGCUCGUGUCGUGAGAUGUUGGGUUAAGUCCCGCAACGAGCGCAACCCUUGAUCUUAGUUGCCAGCAUUCAGUUGGGCACUCUAAGGUGACUGCCGGUGACAAACCGGAGGAAGGUGGGGAUGACGUCAAAUCAUCAUGCCCCUUAUGACCUGGGCUACACACGUGCUACAAUGGACAGAACAAAGGGCAGCGAAACCGCGAGGUUAAGCCAAUCCCACAAAUCUGUUCUCAGUUCGGAUCGCAGUCUGCAACUCGACUGCGUGAAGCUGGAAUCGCUAGUAAUCGCGGAUCAGCAUGCCGCGGUGAAUACGUUCCCGGGCCUUGUACACACCGCCCGUCACACCACGAGAGUUUGUAACACCCGA